GAGGCAGCUGCAAAGGCCAGAGAGAGGAGAAACCCCUGCCCCCGCCCCCACCCCCAUCCCCGGUCGGCCUCGAGCCAACUUCCAACCGACUCUAGAUCGGCCAGGCCUCUACGAGGCUGGAUCGUUGGGGUUCCGUUCCCCGACCCGACCAGCGGGCCUCACCUGGGCGUUGGCCUCUUACAUCGCUCCCUCGCCCCGCGGCAGCCUUUCCCUCGCCCUCCUCCACCUCAGCCGUCGGCGAAUGGCCCCAGUUUGGCCCCGCUGCCCCCCUUCAACAGCCCCAGCAGCAGCCGCUGCAGCUGCCGCCGCCUCAGACCCGAGACUACCCGGAAGUUCUUUCAGAUACUUCCGGCAGGAGAGAACGAGGGAGGCCGGGAAGCAGACAGAAGGGGUGGGUGGGGUGAAGUGGGGGCGGAGUCGGGGGCGGGACUAGCAGAGAUUUAUCGGAGAGAAGGCGGACCAGACGCGCUAGUUCGCACGUCCACCGAAACUCAUGCUCACGCCACACCUCCCACCUUACACGAACACAGCGGGGAAGGGCGGGGAGAGGUAGAGCGGAGCUGGGCAGAGAAGACCCUUGUGGGGCCAGAAGUAGACUGGAAAGCGCACGUGCACGCACGCUCUGGGGUUCGUCGGGAGCGCGCCUGGAUCUACCAGAUCGGAGAAAAGCUCGUUCUCGCAAGAUCUCGGAGUCUAGGUCAAGGAGAGGGCGGGGCUGCCUGUCGUACCCCACUUGCAGACUGGUCACCUUCUACCGAGUGUGGGGCGGAGUUCAUGGGUACAGGGGGCGGGACCGGGGCGGGACCGGGGCGGGCUGAGGGUUGGGGAGGCGGGGCCAGUGCGAGCAUGGGUGGGUGGAGGAGUGAAACAAACACCGGCCCCUACACUAACUACGUACGGCGCACGCUCACACACACCCUGUACGUUCACAACUCUUCUCUCCCUCUUAACCCUAUGCCGCUGAUCCCACAUACCUGUAUACAUGACUUUCCCACCCUGACCCUGUUCACCAAAUUACACGCACACCCUAUAUGUACACAAUUCUUCCUCCUUACUCCUACCAUUACCUUACCAUGA
This 1077-nucleotide long non-coding RNA is filed under the name Monodelphis domestica (gray short-tailed opossum). RNAcentral's name for it is "lncRNA (ENSMODG00000038016.1)". The record is from RNAcentral. Lineage: Eukaryota; Metazoa; Chordata; Mammalia; Didelphimorphia; Didelphidae.